Molecule: ribosomal RNA, 446 nt
Filed under: uncultured Lachnospiraceae bacterium
Lineage: Bacteria; Bacillati; Bacillota; Clostridia; Lachnospirales; Lachnospiraceae
Description: bacterial SSU rRNA
Rfam family: Bacterial small subunit ribosomal RNA
Source: RNAcentral
AUACCCGAUCUGAUAGGAUGUACGGCCACAUUGGGACUGAAACACGGCCCACACUCCUACGGGAGGCAGCAGUGGGGAAUAUUGCACAAUGGAGGGAACUCUGAUGCAUCGACGCCGCAUGAGUGAAUAACUAUUUCGGUAUGUAAAGCUCUAUCACCAGGGAAGAAAAUGACGGUACCUGACUAAGAAGCACCGGCUAAAUACCUGCCAGCAGCCGCGGUAAUACGUAUGGUGCAAGCGUUAUCCGGAUUUACUGGGUGUAAAGGGGGCGUAGGUGGCAAGGCAAGCCAUAAGUGAAAACCCGGGGCUCAACCGCGGGAUUGCUUUUGGAACUGUCAUGCUAGAGUGCAGGAGGGGUGAGCGAAAUUCCUAGUGUAGCGGUGAAAUGCGUAGAUAUUAGGAGGAACACCGGAGGCGAAGGCGGCUCACUGGACUGUAACUGACAC